RNAcentral lists this ribosomal RNA (397 nucleotides) under uncultured bacterium. RNAcentral describes it as "partial 16S ribosomal RNA". It matches the Rfam family "Bacterial small subunit ribosomal RNA", at positions 523 to 918 of the family's 1533-position model. The record is from RNAcentral.
AUACGUAGGGGGCGAGCGUUGUCCGGAAUGAUUGGGCGUAAAGGGCGCGUAGGCGGCGCGGUAAGUCUGGAGUGAAAGUCCUGCUUUCAAGGUGGGAAUUGCUUUGGAUACUGCCGCGCUUGAGUGCAGGAGAGGUUAUCGGAAUUCCCGGUGUAGCGGUGAAAUGCGUAGAGAUUGGGAGAAACACCAGUGGCGAAGGCGACUUACUGGACUGUAACUGACGCUGAGGCGCGAAAGUGUGGGGAGCAAACAGGAUUAGAUACCCUGGUAGUCCACACUGUAAACGAUGAAUGCUAGGUGUAGGGGGUAUCGACCCCUUCUGUGCCGCAGUCAACACAAUAAGCAUUCCGCCUGGGGAGUACGGCCGCAAGGUUGAAACUCAAAUGAAUUGACGGGG